This 928-nucleotide ribosomal RNA is filed under the name uncultured archaeon. Its description in RNAcentral is "partial 16S ribosomal RNA". The stretch from base 2 to 800 matches the Rfam family "Archaeal small subunit ribosomal RNA", at positions 4 to 828 of the family's 1478-position model. The record is from RNAcentral.
UCUGUUUGAUCCUGGCGGAGGUCACUGCUAUUGGGAUUCGACUAAGCCAUGCGAGUCGAGAGGGUUCGGCCCCCUCGGCAGACGGCUCAAUAACACGUGGAUAAUCUGCCCUUAGGUGGAAGAUAACCUCGGGAAACUGAGAAUAAUAUUCCAUAGAUCUAAGAUGCUGGAAUGCACUUAGAUUUAAAGCUUCCGGGCGCCUAAGGAUGAGUCUGCGGACUAUCAGGUAGUAGUCAGGGUAAAGGCCUGACUAGCCUACGACGGAUACGGGUUGUGAGAGCAAUAACCCGGAGACGAUAUCUGAGACACGAUAUCGGGCCCUACGGGGCGCAGCAGGCGCGAAAACUUCACAAUGUGCGAAAGCACGAUGAGGGAAUCCCAAGUGCUUGCUCGUAAGAAGUAAGCUGUUUUUAUGUCUAAAAUGCAUAGAGAGUAAGGGCUGGGUAAGACGGGUGCCAGCCGCCGCGGUAAUUACUUGAGCUUCAAGUGGUGACCGCUAUUAUUGGGCUUAAAACGUUCUUGCCCGGUUUAUAAAUGCCUGGGUAAAUCGUGUAGCUUAACCUUACGAAUUCCCGGGAGACUGAAUGAACUUGAAACCGGGAAAAGCUAGAGGUACUCCUGGGGGUAGAGGGUAAAUUCUGUAAUCCUGGGGGAACCACCAGUGCAAAGGCUCCAAGCUAGAACGGUCUAACGGUGAGAACGAGCCCUGGGCGCAACCGAUUAAUACCCGGUAGUCAGGUGUAACGCUGUUGUUGAUUUUAUUGGCUCCAACCAUUAUGUCGAAAAUUGUAACAGCUCCUGAAGCACGAUCCAGAUUGAACUCACGAUUGCAGAACACACGUGACCGUCGUUAUGGAUCACGGAACUACGGAGCAGUCCUAGGGCAGGUAAACUGGCGAUCGAAAUGUUGUCUAUGUCGCUAUUGAUA